Molecule: unclassified non-coding RNA, 144 nt
Filed under: uncultured Helotiales
Lineage: Eukaryota; Fungi; Ascomycota; Leotiomycetes; Helotiales
Description: sequence contains ITS2
Source: RNAcentral
CAACCCUCAAGCAUAGCUUGGCAUUGGGCUCCGCUGAUUCCAGCGCGCCUUAAAAUCAGUGGCGGCGCCCUCAGGCUCUGAGCGUAGUAAAUAUCCUCGCUACGGAGUCCUGAGUGGUGGUAGCCAUCAACCCCAACUUUCUAA